UUGUAUGUACCUUCACAUUAUCAAAAAUGUUUAUUCAUGUUCUGGUGUAUGGAGUACACAUUUCUUUUUUUUUUGUUAAGCUCAAAAAUCAGUACAUGAAGUUAUGAAUCAGUGUAAGGGACACGUUUUUAACAAAGGGACUAAAAUAUGAAUUUGAUUCCAACUCAGUGGUAAACACUUCCAAUCAGUUACGUAGAGCCAUGUGUAACAUUGGUCAUUGGUUCUAUCUGCCGAUUUCAAAAUCAAGUGUACCAAAGUUCCUAUAGAACACAGAACUUUUGUGCUUAAUUUAAUUGAUAAUAUGUUUUAGGAAGAGUUUUUAAAAUUAACGAAUUUAUUGCAAAGCAGUAAAGCACACAAAUCACUGAAAACAGAAUGACGAUAUCAUAAA
Sphaeramia orbicularis (orbiculate cardinalfish) is the source of this 391-nucleotide long non-coding RNA. RefSeq lists it as uncharacterized. The record is from RefSeq and is a predicted model, not a curated record. NCBI's taxonomy places the organism in Eukaryota, Metazoa, Chordata, Actinopteri, Kurtiformes, Apogonidae. The transcript has 2 exons.